This is a long non-coding RNA of Drosophila takahashii, 561 nucleotides long. RefSeq lists it as uncharacterized. The record is from RefSeq and is a predicted model, not a curated record. NCBI's taxonomy places the organism in Eukaryota, Metazoa, Arthropoda, Insecta, Diptera, Drosophilidae.
AGGACACUCGCGUGCGCGCGUCGAACGGUUUCUGUUUCUGGCUUUGUAUUCGGAUGAAAAGUGUGUGUGGAAAAGUGUGUGAAGAGUCUGACGGCGAAACGCAACAACAAUCGUUGAGACAGGACCUUUAGUAUUAUUUGCUAUAUAUUUGCUUUAUGGCUAAAAUGUAAUAUCCAAAAAAGUGAGCGGGAAAGUAUGCGAAAUAACUGAAUAAGCCGAAAUCAUUAACAAAUUAAAACGAGACACGCAAAGAGGGCAGGAAAAUAUACCUACCCAUAGUAAAUAUCGAAAGGAGUCAAGUGUUUUUUUGGAGGAGCUGUUUGCUGGCAUGCUUUGAGGUUAAUACCACCCACCCAUCAACCAACCAUCACCACCUCCUUCUCCUCUUCCUCCUCCUCCUCCUCCUCCUCCUCCUCCUCUUCAUCUCCGUUUUGGCCAAUUUCUCCGUCUGCUUUCGCCGCUUUCUUUCUGCCGUCACCAUCAGAAGGCAUCGAAGCAAUGGUUGCCUCAUUAGCGACUUAGCAGAAUGGCGUAAAGGAAACCGUAACCAAAAACCACCAA